AAACGCUAGCGGGACGCCUAACUCAUGCAAGUCGAACGUUUCUAUUUUGGAGCUUGCUCCUAGAUAUGAAAAGUGGCAAACGAGCGAGGAACACGUACCUAACCUGCCCAGAAGACGGGAACAACCAUAGAGAUAUGGCUAAUUCCCGAUAAUCUCCAGAAAAUGAAAAUAUCUGGAGCAAAGAUUUAUCGCUUUUGGAGGGGGGUGCGUCCUAUCAGGUAGUUGGUGGGGUAAUAGCCUACCAAGCCUAUGACGGGUAGCCGGUCUGAGAUGAUGUCCGGCCGCGAUGGGACUGAGACACGGCCCAUACUCCUAUGGGAGGCAGCAGUGGGGAAUCUUGCACAAUGGACGAAAGUCUGAUGCAGCGAUCCCGCGUGGAGGACGACGCCCUAUGGGGUGUAAACUCCUUUUCUGGUGGAAGAAGAAUGACGGUACACCAGGAAUAAGAGACGGCUAACUACGUGCCAGCAGCCGCGGUAAUACGUAGGUCUCGAGCGUUAUCCGGAUUUACUGGGCGUAAAGCGUCCGUAGCCUGAUGUAUAAGUCUGUUUUCAAAUAUUCUGGCUCAACCAGAAAAAGGGGAUAGAUACUGUAUAUCUAGAGAUUGUUAGGGGUUAGUGGAAUUUCAGGUGGAGCGGUGAAAUGCGUUGAUAUCCGAAAGAAUGCCGAAAGCGAAAGCAGCUAACUAUAAUAAAUCUGACGGUGAUGGACGAAAGCUUGGGGAGCGAACGGGAUUAGAUACCCCGGUAGUCCAAGCUGUAAAUUAUGUUUGCUAGGUGUUUCUUCUUCGGAAGGAGUGCCGUAACCUAACGGGUUAAGCAAAUCGCCUGUGUAGUAUAUUCGCAAGAAUGAAACACAAAGGGAUAGGCGGGGGAACACACAAGCAGUGGAUUAUCUAGAUUAAUUGGAUAAUAAGCCAAGAAUCUUACCUGGAUUUGACAUACAUUGUGUCUACGGUGAAAGCCGUAUAUUUCAUAGCAAUAUGGGAGCUUUGUACAGGUGGUGCAUGGUCGUCGUCAGCUCGUGCCGCAAGGUGUCUAGUUAAGCCUAGGAACGAGCGCAACCCUCAUCAUUAGUUAGAAUGUCUAAUGAGACUGCCUGGGCAACCAGGAGGAAGGAGAGGAUGACGUCAGAUCCUCAUGCCCCUUACAUCCAGGGCUUCAUAGAUAAUACAAUGGGUAGUAACAGCGAGAAGCGAUACCGUGAGGUGGAGCAAAUCUUUAAACCUACCCCUAGUUCGGAUUGUAGUCUGGAACUUGACUACAUGAAGUUGGAAUUGCUAGUAAUGGCGAAUCAGCAAUGUCGCCGUGAAUAUGUCCCUGUUCCUUGCACUCACCGCCCGUCAAACCAUGGGAGUUGGGGUUCUCUGAAGAUUCGCUAUGCGGGUUAAGGAGAAAAUCAAUGACAGGGGUUAAGUCGUAACAAGGUA
RNAcentral lists this ribosomal RNA (1429 nucleotides) under metagenome. RNAcentral describes it as "bacterial SSU rRNA". It matches the Rfam family "Bacterial small subunit ribosomal RNA". The record is from RNAcentral.